Molecule: transfer RNA, 68 nt
Filed under: Candidatus Neoanaerotignum galli
Lineage: Bacteria; Bacillati; Bacillota; Clostridia
Rfam family: tRNA
About the family: Transfer RNA (tRNA) molecules are approximately 80 nucleotides in length. Their secondary structure includes four short double-helical elements and three loops (D, anti-codon, and T loops).
Source: RNAcentral
CGGAUGUAGUUUAGUGGUAGAACUUCAGCUUCCCAAGCUGACCGUGCGAGUUCGAUUCUCGUCAUCCG